GGGGUCGACUGGAAUUGACAGUAUGACAAAUUUUAUUUUUGCAUGUCGGGUGAAGGUAACAUCCGUAAUCAAAUGCUAAACUUUAUAAACGGCGAACGUAAAUACGAUUACGCUAUGGCAGUUUAAAUUCAAAGAAUUUAAAUGACCACAUCAUAGUUAAUUGGUGAUCUUCGAUUAAUUAAUAUGGUGUCAUAUGGAGAUCUACUGUAUGUUUUUUCUAUGGUUAUAUACAGGAAAUUUAGUAGAUAAGGAUAGAUGUUGGUUGAUAUUUUCCUGCUUUAUCUCGAAAAUUAAAAAUUAUCUAAGCAUGUAGACGGAAUAUUAUUUCCAUAGCUGGACGCGGGUUCGAAACCCGCCGACUCCACCA
Molecule: transfer-messenger RNA, 367 nt
Filed under: Cytophagales
Lineage: Bacteria; Pseudomonadati; Bacteroidota; Cytophagia
Also listed under: 2 other names
Description: MED-G16 sp002457315 Standard tmRNA
Rfam family: transfer-messenger RNA
About the family: Bacterial tmRNA, also known as 10Sa RNA or SsrA, is named for its dual tRNA and mRNA-like properties. Its role is to liberate the mRNA from a stalled ribosome. To accomplish this part of the tmRNA is used as a reading frame that ends in a translation stop signal.
Source: RNAcentral